UUUAACUGGAGCCCGUCUUCAGCCAAUCAGACGUCUUCUUCUUAAACAGCCAAUCACAAGGGCUGGGCUGUGGGGAGCCCUGUCGCAUUGAUAGCCAAUGCGCUACUGAGCAUGCGCAUUGCAACCACGCCCCUCCAGGGGUGCUCACGUGUCAAACUUUUGUCGAGUGGAGAUUCCUUUUUGACUACCACGCAGUUCCUGCCGUUGUUGUCGUGCAGUUGGUGUACAACAUGGAGAAGAGGUUCCAGGAGAUUUUCAAUUUUAGGUCAAGGGGUGAAUUCCCAAAUUUAUAGUGAAUCUCAGAAAUGUGCUUUAAGAAGAUAUAUGCAGAAGCUCAAACUGAAGGUCCCGAACAGAAGCACGAUCACUGUUUAAUGAAGUACACUCGGCUUCAAUUGGUGCACACACAGGCACUGUUAAAAUCAGAUCCUCAAUGUACUCUAGAAAUUAUUGGGAUGGCAUGACAGUGGACAUUGACUGAUGGGUCUCUGAAUGCGACGGAUGUAACUCUUUGGCUGUGUGUGACACAGCCAUUACAAAGCAUUAAGGUGUCUGCUGUUUGGGAGUUGGUUGGGAUAGACCUGACUGGGCCUCUCCUAAAAACCAAGGAUGGCUUUCAGUACAUUCUUACUGCCACCAAUUAUUUUUCCAAGUGGGUUGAGGCCUUUCCUUUAAAAACCAAAACAGCAUCAGAAGUGGCAUAACGGAUCUGCUCAAUUGUUUAUAGACACAGAUGCCCCCAAAGAAUUCUGUCCGACCAAGGAAGAGAAUUUGUCAAUUAGCUCAACGAUAACCUUUGUGCCCUCCUGUGCAUUGAAAGGAGUGUUACAGCUGCAUAUCAUCCUCAGACGAAUGGGCUGGAUGAGAGGACAAAUAGCAACAUAAAACG
Long non-coding RNA from Corythoichthys intestinalis (scribbled pipefish), 889 nucleotides. RefSeq lists it as uncharacterized. The record is from RefSeq and is a predicted model, not a curated record. The transcript has 6 exons. Lineage: Eukaryota; Metazoa; Chordata; Actinopteri; Syngnathiformes; Syngnathidae.